AGUUUUCAUACCUGAUUUUGUAGGAUAGUAGGAAAGAAAAGGUUUGUAAGGGUUAGAUUUCAUGCUUACUGAUUAAAGCAUUCUUUUGUUUAGAGCUUACGGAAGAUUAAAGUGUUCAGCUGUGUUCAGAAGUAUUAGCAAGAGAGAUUAAAGUUUAGUUGGGUAACAGAACCUUUGGAUUGCUUCGUAAGGUGCAAGGUAGAGCGUGGGAGUUUUAGGCGAAGUCAAUAAUACUUGAAGCCUUAAAAGAUUAUUAAUUAUUUCUUUUUAUUCCGCUUUAGAUUGCACUGUAUUUUGGAGAUUAUUCUAAAUUUGAGGAGUUUGGAUUUUUGUAAGAGAUUUAUCAAUAGCAUUGUUUAUUUGGAGUUUUGAAUUAUGUUUAAAUUAAUCAUGUUUAUUGAGUGA
Quercus robur (English oak) is the source of this 405-nucleotide long non-coding RNA. RefSeq lists it as uncharacterized. Lineage: Eukaryota; Viridiplantae; Streptophyta; Magnoliopsida; Fagales; Fagaceae. The transcript is spliced from 2 exons. The record is from RefSeq and is a predicted model, not a curated record.